AGAACUUAGCAGAGAUGCUUUGGUGCCUUCGGGAACUCUGAGACAGGUGCUGCAUGGCUGUCGUCAGCUCGUGUUGUGAAAUGUUGGGUUAAGUCCCGCAACGAGCGCAACCCUUAUCCUUUGUUGCCAGCGGUCCGGCCGGGAACUCAAAGGAGACUGCCAGUGAUAAACUGGAGGAAGGUGGGGAUGACGUCAAGUCAUCAUGGCCCUUACGAGUAGGGCUACACACGUGCUACAAUGGCGCAUACAAAGAGAAGCGACCUCGCGAGAGCAAGCGGACCUCAUAAAGUGCGUCGUAGUCCGGAUUGGAGUCUGCAACUCGACUCCAUGAAGUCGGAAUCGCUAGUAAUCGUGGAUCAGAAUGCCACGGUCGAAUACGUUCCGGGCCUUGUACACACCGCCCGUCACACCAUGGGAGUGGGUUGCAAAAGAAGUAGGUAGCUUAACCUUCGGGAGGGCGCUUACCACUUUGUGAUUCAUGACUGGGGUGAAGUCGUAACAAGGUAAGCGUAGUGCU
This 517-nucleotide ribosomal RNA is filed under the name uncultured bacterium. Its description in RNAcentral is "bacterial SSU rRNA". It matches the Rfam family "Bacterial small subunit ribosomal RNA", at positions 992 to 1509 of the family's 1533-position model. The record is from RNAcentral.